GCAGUGAAUUGAGAGGAAAACAGGACUUGAACAAGGGCCUGAAGGCACUAGGGGAGGUGGAGGGGAAUCCCUGAAGUGAGGAGGAAGCCUAGACUGGGGCAAUGGGGGCUGGGGCCUCUCGGCUGCCACUCCCUCCUAGGCACCAUUCUCCCACUCAGUAUCCUAGGCUCUCCCUGGGAAUAUUCUUCCUCCGAAGAGCUGAGGUCUCUCCUCAGAAGUCCACCCUUGAUUGCUGGUCUUCCACUCCACCCCUUCCCCCAGGCCAUGAUACUAUUCCCUCUCCCUCCCUUCCUUCCUCCCUUCCUCUCUCUGUCUCUGUCUCCGUUUCUGUUUCUGUUUCUCUCUCUCUCUCUGUCUCCCUCCCUCUCAAUCUCUCUCUGUCUGUCUGUCCCUCUCCCCUUCCCUCUCUCUCUCUGUCUGUCGCUGUUUCUCUCCUUCCCUCUCUGUCUCUCUCCUUCCCUCUCUCUCUGUCUCUGUCUGUCUGUCUUUCUCUCUGUCUGUAUGUCUCUUUCUCCUCUCCUCUCCUUCCCUCUGUCUCUCUUUCUCUGUAUGUCUCUGUCUGUCUCUUUCUCUCUGUGUGUGUCUCUGUCUGUCUGUCUCUCUCUCUCCCUCUCUCCUUCCCUCUGUCUCUCUCAGUCUCUCUUUCUCUGUAUGUCUCUGUCUGUCUGUCUCUCCCUCUCUCCUUCCCUCUCUCUCUCUCUCUCUCUCUCGGUCUCUCUUUCUCUGUGUGUGUGUCUCUGUCUAGUCGUGUCUCUCUCUCCCUCUCUCCUUCCCUCUCUCUCUCUCCUCCCUUAUCUCUCUCCCUCCCUCUUCUUCUAUCCCUCUCUCUUACUCUCUCUUACUCUCUCUCCCUCUCUCUCUCCUUCUCCCUUUUCUCUCUCCCUCCCUCUUACUCUCUCCCUCUCUCUUACUCUCUCCCCCCUCUCUCUCUUUCUCUCUCUCUCUCUCUCUCUCUCUCUCUCUCUCUCUCUCUCUCUCUCUCUCUCUCUGUCUCUCUUUCUCUUUCUCUCUCUCUCCCCCUCUCCUCCCACUCUCUCCUUCAUCCUUCAUCUGUCUGUUUGAUUAAAGAAAGCAAAUUGCGAAACCAUUCUGUUUCUCAUGCAGGAUAACUAUCAACAAUAUGAACAAUUACUGAGUGUGUGAUAUUAUACAAAUAAAUGACACUUAACAUUAUCUCCAGCACAAUCAUAUUUAUUAAACAAUGACGGAGGGCAGCAGUAACUAUUUUUAUUGUCCCAUACUUACUUAAGUAAGUAAGAAAGUAACAAAAUGUUACUUUU
This 1280-nucleotide long non-coding RNA is filed under the name Monodelphis domestica (gray short-tailed opossum). Its description in RNAcentral is "lncRNA (ENSMODG00000043254.1)". Lineage: Eukaryota; Metazoa; Chordata; Mammalia; Didelphimorphia; Didelphidae. The record is from RNAcentral.